AAGGGGGAUUUAAAGGUGAAAACCGCCGGAGGAUUGGAAUAUGUCCUAUUAGCUAGUUGGCGGGAUAAAAGCCCACCAAGGCGAUGAUAGGUAGCUGGUCUAAGAGGAUGAACAGCCACAAUGGGAUUGAGAUACGGCCCAUAUUCCUACGGGAAGCAGCAGUAGGGAAUCUUCCACAAUGGGCGAAAGCCUGAUGGAGCAAUGCCAUGUGAAUGAUGAAGGCCAGACAGGUCGUAAAGUUCUUUUAGAGGGGAAAAAUUUGAUGGUACCCUCUGAAUAAGUGACAGCAAACUAUGUGCCAGCAGCUGCGGUAAUACAUAGGUCGCGAGCGUUAUUCGGAUUUAUUGGGCGUAAAGCAAGCGCAGGCGGAUGAAUAAGUUCUGCAUUAAAAGCAGCUGCUUAACAGUUGUUUGUGCCGAAUACUAUUCAUCUAGAAUGUGGUAGGAAGUUUUGGAAUUAAAUAUGGAGCGGUGGAAUGUGUAGAUAUAUUUAAGAACACCAGAGGCGAAGGCGAAAACUUAGGCCAUUAUUGACGCUUAGGCUUGAAAGUGUGGGUAGCAAAUGGGAUUAGAUACCCCAGUAGUCCACACCGUAAACGAUGGGUAUUAGAUGUCGGGAUUUGUGUUUCGGCGUUGUAGCUUACGUGUUAAAUACCCCGCCUGGGUAGUACAUAUGCAAAUAUGAAACUCAAAGGAAUUGACGGGGACCUGAACAAGUGGUGGAACAUGUUGCUUAAUUCGAUAAUACACGAAAAACCUUACCAAGGUUUGACAUCCUUUGCAAAGCCAUAGAAAUAUGGUGGAGGUUAUCAGAGUGACAGGUGGUGCAUGGUUGUCGUCAGCUCGUGUCAUGAGAUGUUUGGUUAAGUCCCGCAACGAGCGCAACCCUACUCUUUAGUUGAUUGUCUAAAGAGACUGAACAGUAAUGUAUAGGAAGGAUGGGAUCACGUCAAAUCAUCAUGCCCCUUAUGCCUUGGGCCCAAAAACGUG
RNAcentral lists this ribosomal RNA (989 nucleotides) under Candidatus Mycoplasma turicense. RNAcentral describes it as "bacterial SSU rRNA". It matches the Rfam family "Bacterial small subunit ribosomal RNA", at positions 192 to 1224 of the family's 1533-position model. Lineage: Bacteria; Bacillati; Mycoplasmatota; Mollicutes; Mycoplasmatales; Mycoplasmataceae. The record is from RNAcentral.